CACGUUGAAACAUCGGUUCCCGUGCGAUCACCGAAGUUAAGCAACUUCGAACAUUGUCAGUACCUGGAUGGUUAACCGCUUGGGAAUACCAUGUGUU
Molecule: non-coding RNA, 97 nt
Organism: Acanthosepion pharaonis
Lineage: Eukaryota; Metazoa; Mollusca; Cephalopoda; Sepiida; Sepiidae
Source: the annotation of a GenBank genome assembly